UACGUAGGGGGCAAGCGUUGUCCGGAUUUAUUGGGCGUAAAGAGCGUGUAGGCGGCCAGGUAGGUCCGUUGUGAAAACUCGAGGCUCAACCUCGAGACGUCGGCGGAAACCCUCUGGCUAGAGUCCGGAAGAGGAGAGUGGAAUUCCUGGUGUAGCGGUGAAAUGCGCAGAUAUCAGGAGGAACACCGGUGGCGAAGGCGGGUCUCUGGGCCGAUACUGACGCUGAGGAGCGAAAGCGUGGGGAGCGAACAGG
RNAcentral lists this ribosomal RNA (253 nucleotides) under uncultured bacterium. RNAcentral's name for it is "partial 16S ribosomal RNA". It matches the Rfam family "Bacterial small subunit ribosomal RNA", at positions 524 to 776 of the family's 1533-position model. The record is from RNAcentral.